GGUUUUGAGCAAUCGCGGUUAGCUUUAUGCUAGCUGAGGAAAGUCCACGCCCACACGAGCUGCGAUGCUCGUAGUGUUUGUACUCAGCCCAAUAAGCUGGGGGAUCGUAAGAUCACGGCGGAAAAAGCGCUAAAUCCAUUUUGGACAUGCGUGACUAUCCUGAAAAGUGCCACAGUGACGUAGCAAUAGGAGAAAUCUUAUUGGUGGAACGAGGUAAACCCUGCAAGUGGGCAACCCAAAUUUGGUAGGGGCGUCUUGUCUAUGGAAUUGAACUAAAGACAAGGUCAUUUUAUGAAGAUAGAUGGUUGCUGAAAACAAGAUCAGCCAAGUCUUGUUGGAACAAAACGUGGCUUAUAGAA
Molecule: RNase P RNA, 359 nt
Filed under: Lactobacillus sp.
Lineage: Bacteria; Bacillati; Bacillota; Bacilli; Lactobacillales; Lactobacillaceae
Description: RNase P RNA component class B
Rfam family: Bacterial RNase P class B
About the family: Ribonuclease P (RNase P) is a ubiquitous endoribonuclease, found in archaea, bacteria and eukarya as well as chloroplasts and mitochondria. Its best characterised activity is the generation of mature 5'-ends of tRNAs by cleaving the 5'-leader elements of precursor-tRNAs. Cellular RNase Ps are ribonucleoproteins.
Source: RNAcentral